This 2462-nucleotide long non-coding RNA is filed under the name Homo sapiens (human). RNAcentral's name for it is "HSALNT0394301". The record is from RNAcentral. Lineage: Eukaryota; Metazoa; Chordata; Mammalia; Primates; Hominidae.
CAUCUUUCUCCCAUGUUGGAUGCUUCCUGCCCUUGAACAUCAGACUCCAGGUUCUUCAGCUGUUGGACUCUUGGACUUACACCAGUGACCUGCCAGGGGCUCUCAGGCCUUUGGCCACAGACCGAAGGUUACACUGUUGGCUUCUCUAUUUCUGAGGUUUUGGGACUGGGACUGGCUUUCUGGCUCCUUAGCCUGCAGAUGGUCUAUUCUGGGACUUCACCUUGUGAUCGUAAAUAUAACUUUGAGUUAGACCCUAGGCCACCCAUGGAAAACUCCAUCUCUCAGCUGUUUAUGACCAGCGGGAUGUGUGUAGAAUUGAUGUGCGCAGCUGCAGGAUCAGGUCUGGAAAAAGAGGGGCAUGUCCUGCCUUUCAUCCUUUUUUCCUUCCUUCUGGCUAAACUGCAGGCACAAUGGGAGCCAUUCUGAGCCAUGCCCAUGAGGACAAUAUCUCAGGAAAAGUGAACAACAAGAUAGAAGGAGCCUGGGUCCCCAAGGCUGUGGAACUGCUGUGCCAUGGUGGACUGCUUGUCCUGUAGUGCUAUAUGAGAAGGAAGUAAAUUUCUGAAUUGUUUAAACAACUAAUAUUCGGGGCUGCAGCUUCCACCACAACUUAGACAGAAGAGGGCAUGUGCACUGGAUCCCUUCAUCAGGAAGCCCUGGAUCUCCCCCCCCAACACAAUUAUGAAAGAACACAUGAGCACCCAGUGGCUCAGGACCCAGUGCUGGGCACCGACACAGCACGAGCGAGUGGGCACCUGAACAUCCACUUAUGUGACUAAUGUUCAGCCUUCAGGGAAACAUUUCUCCACAUCUCUUGCCCUAGUCCUCAAAACAAAAGGCUACUGUGUCCAAAUGUUGUGAAAGAUUGGGGAUUGUGACAUCGCCAACAUCAGAGACAGACGCAGAGUACAGGGAGAAUCUGAGCAGUGCCAGCCCUUAAGUAUUGACUCAACAACUCCUCCCUCAGAGACCAGCAAUGUAACAGAUUCCUGAAUAACCAAGAAGUAUUGCUUCCCAGAAGGGAAGAAUCCUCAUUUUCUUGAUUCUAUUCAUAUUCCAAUUCUUGAUUCUACCAGUACCACUGAAGUAGUGUGAUAACCACAAGAGUUACAUAUGAAAGUUAUGGAAUAGUUUGCAAUAUUAAACAAUUCGUAACCUUUAAAUAUAUACACAUCUAGAUAGGUCUAGAGAUAAUACGUGUGACAUGUGAAACUGAUUUUUUAAAAUUUUUAAUUUUUGUGGGUAUGUAGUAGGUGUACAUAUUUAUGAGGUAUACGGGAUAUUUUGAUACAGGUGAAACUGAUCCUUUAUAUUGGCAACUACAUAUACUUGAAAAGCUAGAGUUAAAAAUGGUUUUAUUUUUAUAAAAAUAUGAUUCAAAUAAGUGUUUUAAAAAUUAAGUAACAAUUUCAACCUUAUUUAAAUUUAAAUUUAAAAUUUGGUAUUAUUCAUGUGUUUUGAUCUUAAAUUUUAGAUAUUUAGAUAUUUUAAAUACUGUUUAAAAUUUUUGAAAAACAUUAAUUUAGAAUGUUUUAAUUUUGAUUUAUUAGUUUAAAUUUACAUUUUGAUAGUAAUUCAUUCAAAUUUGACACACAUUUAAUUUUUUAGUCUUUUAGGUCCUUACUGACAACUGAACACUAGUUAUAUAAAGCAACAUUAAUUAAGGAUUAUUCUGAAAUGAAGGCAAGAAAAUUUGCUAUAGUAUAUAUAAUUUAUGAAUUAUAUGUAUAUGUUAUUGUUUCAUCCAAACAUUGUCCAUUAGCAGAAUACCCAACAGGCAUAAUAAUAAAUUCUAUUACCUUUAACAUUUUGCCAACUUUCAAUGAUAUCAAGACCAUAGCUUUCCACAUGUCACUAUAAAGAUAUAUUGUCAAUAUAGUUGAAUAGAAUAUAUUAAACAGCAAUUUAUAACUUUUAAUUACUUAGACAUGGUAUUUCAUUCAUUUGUCUUCUUGUCCUGAGCUCUACAAAUGUUAGAAAAGGGGCUGAUUUAGGGUCUCUCUUAGGGCAAUUAAACUUAUGUCCUAAACAAUGCAAUGCCCUGGCUUACUUCCUAGAUAAGUCAGAGCCCACAAUAGUAUAAAAGUAAAAUGCUACUUCAAAUCAUAAAAAUAAUUCAUUGGUUAUUAUUCUACAGCCUAUGUAUGGUGUAUAUAAGACUUACAAUCUCUGUAGAACUAUGUGUCACACAAGGAUUGUUUUGAGACAAUCAGUGUUUGCAGAUACGUGCAUGUAUUAGUUAUCUAUUGCUUUGUAACAAAUCACUAUAAAUUUAGCAGCUUAAAACAACACAUAUUAAUGAUAUCCCAGUUUCUGUGGGUAAGGAGUGUAGACACAAUUUAGUUGGGUCCUCUGCUCCGGGGUCACAAGGCUUCAAUCAAAGUGUCAAAUGGGCUGCAUUCUCAUCUGGAGGCUUGCCUGGGGAAGAAUCCAAGCUCAUUCAGGUUGUUGGCAGAAUUUAU